Molecule: ribosomal RNA, 468 nt
Filed under: uncultured bacterium
Lineage: Bacteria
Description: partial 16S ribosomal RNA
Rfam family: Bacterial small subunit ribosomal RNA
Source: RNAcentral
GACGAACGCUGGCGGCGUGCUUAACACAUGCAAGUCGAACGGAAAGGCCCUGCUUUUGUGGGGUGCUCGAGUGGCGAACGGGUGAGUAACACGUGAGUAACCUGCCCUUGACUUUGGGAUAACUUCAGGAAACUGGGGCUAAUACCGGAUAGGAGCUCCUGCUGCAUGGUGGGGGUUGGAAAGUUUCGGCGGUUGGGGAUGGACUCGCGGCUUAUCAGCUUGUUGGUGGGGUAGUGGCUUACCAAGGCUUUGACGGGUAGCCGGCCUGGGAGGGUGACCGGCCACAUUGGGACUGAGGUACGGCCCAGACUCCUACGGGAGGCAGCAGUGGGGAAUAUUGCACAAUGGGCGGAAGCCUGAUGCAGCAACGCCGCGUGCGUGAUGACGGCCUGCGGGUUGUAAACCGCUUUCGCCUGUGACGAAGCGUGAGUGACGGUAAUGGGUAAAGAAGCACCGGCUAACUACGUG